AUUGAACGCUGGCGGUAUGCUUUACACAUGCAAGUCGAACGGUAACAGGCCGCAAGGUGCUGACGAGUGGCGAACGGGUGAGUAAUGCAUCGGAACGUGCCCAGUCGUGGGGGAUAACGCAGCGAAAGCUGCGCUAAUACCGCAUACGAUCUAUGGAUGAAAGCGGGGGACCGUAAGGCCUCGCGCGAUUGGAGCGGCCGAUGUCAGAUUAGGUAGUCGGUGGGGUAAAGGCUCACCAAGCCAACGAUCUGUAGCUGGUCUGAGAGGACGACCAGCCACACUGGGACUGAGACACGGCCCAGACUCCUACGGGAGGCAGCAGUGGGGAAUUUUGGACAAUGGGCGCAAGCCUGAUUCAGCAAUGCCGCGUGCAGGAAGAAGGCCUUCGGGUUGUAAACUGCUUUUGUUCGGAACGAAACGGCUCUGGUUAAUACCUGGGGCUAAUGACGGUACCGUAAGAAUAAGCACCGGCUAACUACGUGCCAGCCGCCGCGGUAA
RNAcentral lists this ribosomal RNA (498 nucleotides) under uncultured bacterium. RNAcentral's name for it is "partial 16S ribosomal RNA". It matches the Rfam family "Bacterial small subunit ribosomal RNA", at positions 30 to 523 of the family's 1533-position model. The record is from RNAcentral.